Molecule: RNA transcript, 884 nt
Organism: Gossypium raimondii (Peruvian cotton)
Lineage: Eukaryota; Viridiplantae; Streptophyta; Magnoliopsida; Malvales; Malvaceae
Gene name: protein BLISTER-like
Exons: 5
Source: RefSeq, a predicted model, not a curated record
AGAAAUGCAUCCAGUUCUUCCGGUAGACGUAAAGGACGGUGAUAAAGGCAUGUCAAAAUUUAGAAGCGCUCAGAUCCAGUGAACCUCUAACUGUAAUGAAUUAUUGCUUACGCACAUCGGGCCUGAGCUGAGCAGGCCUCCCACUUUGUUCCAGCAAAUCUACCAUGAAUUCUUCGCUGGGUCUUGGCUUAAGGCGAUGGUCGUUCUUUGAUUUCUAACAAUUUUCAGUCAUAACAAUUUUCCUUUCAUUGUUUCUUAUUUUCGAGCAUCUUUCUCCAUACAAGAAUCCCGAGGAGCAAAAGUUCUUGAUCGGAGUUGUUCUUAUGAUUCCUUGCUAUUCUGUAGAAUCGGCAGAGCUCGAGUCUUUUAAAAUGGAAUAUGCAAAUGCACGACUGGAAUGUAAUGCAGCUGAUGAACGUGCUAAUAUAUUGGCUUCUGAAGUCAUUGGUUUGGAAGAGAAGGUAACAAAGUUUUAAUGGGCCUCUGAGCACUUAUGGCUGAAUUUAAUGGUGCAGCAGUCCCAUCUGAUUCACUCUCUUAGUAGCUUGUUAUUGAACAAAUGCAGGUAUUGUAGCAUAGCAAUUUCUUGAGACACUUGAAGUUAAAAGGGGUUGCAGUUUUGGGGUUUCCGACAUUAAUAAGGGUUGUUGUCCACAUUUUGUUUAUUUGUUUGGUUUUUCUUUUUCAGUUAAUCAGCAUGCUUGUAUUAAUCCAGAUGCAACAGUAGUUGGAUGAUGAAUGAUAUAAUUGACUCGUUCAAGCUUCUGAUGGUUUUUGAACCAUUAACAAUAAGAAAUGAAUCAGAUAUGUUGAUGAAGAAUUGAACAUGUGGUUUCUAUUGGAUUUCUUCUGAAAUUAAGAAAUGAAUCAUUUUUCAUUUAUCA